RNAcentral lists this transfer RNA (85 nucleotides) under Cupriavidus malaysiensis. RNAcentral's name for it is "tRNA-Leu". It matches the Rfam family "tRNA". From Rfam's summary of the family: Transfer RNA (tRNA) molecules are approximately 80 nucleotides in length. Their secondary structure includes four short double-helical elements and three loops (D, anti-codon, and T loops). The record is from RNAcentral. Lineage: Bacteria; Pseudomonadati; Pseudomonadota; Betaproteobacteria; Burkholderiales; Burkholderiaceae. RNAcentral also lists the same sequence under 3 other names.
GCCCAGAUGGCGGAAUUGGUAGACGCACUAUCUUGAGGGGGUAGCGCCGCGAGGCGUGCGGGUUCGAGUCCCGCUCUGGGCACCA